Molecule: long non-coding RNA, 1245 nt
Organism: Dermacentor andersoni
Lineage: Eukaryota; Metazoa; Arthropoda; Arachnida; Ixodida; Ixodidae
Source: RefSeq, a predicted model, not a curated record
UUUUUCAGAAAGUCAAUUUUGCAGCUGCUCCUUCCAGAAGAAAAGAUAUCUCGCGUUCGUACUCGUGGUGACAAUGCGCUUUUAACGCCUUAAUUUACUUUUUAUGCCUUGCAUGCGUGUAUAGACAAUAUCGUUACUCGGCCGUAAGGUUUGACUCUUGGGUUUAAAGAAAUGUGCAGAUCCGACGCACAUGUUGGGAUCUACGCGAAAGGGAAGCUUUAGUUAAGUGGUUAAUCGAAAGCUUCGCAACUAUAACGGCGCUGCGUACGAUUUGGUUUCCCUCACAAGAUAUGCCGAAAUAGAAGCUUCAAGUCAAGCGAAGGCUCUGUGUGACACGUAUAGGCAGCGGUGUGACAAGGACGAAGGCGAUGCAUGUUGCUGGCCAAGGGUAGAACAGCGCACUUCACUAUAAGUGGGACAUGCCCAAUCUGGAGGGCUGACCAAGAACGGGCACAUCCACCGGCCACAAACCGAAUGGCUAAAUCCAAGAAAAUAAAUCAAAUAAUCCGGUAAAUAAAACUCGCUAUUAUAUUAACAGGUCGGUGUGCUUUAGAUAUAUAUGCAGUGUGUGCCGACAUUAUACGUUCAGGCUUUACGCCGGCAACUAUGGUGGGACGUGCCCGUUCUGGAGGAUUGCCCAAGAACGGGCACGCACCAAGAGGAACAUAUUGAGUAGCUAAAUCGAAUAAAAUAAAGUAAAUGAAGAGAAUUCCGUAAAUAAGAUCCACCAUUCCACAAACAGAUCAGUGGGUCUUAUAAAAGAUGCCCUUGUGCCGAUCUUGUAUGUUUUGGCUUAUGUGGAAAGUCUUUUCGGCUACGCAUAAUUAAAGUGAACACGCUUGGUCAGCUCGUUCGCUGAUAUACUUUCAUUCGGCGCACAUACAUUAUUUGUAAAUAUAUCGAUAAAUAUGUCCGCCGAGAUAGCAACCGGCUGAACAACACCCAGCUGCCAGGCAGUCCCACCAAACUCGGAAAAGUAGGCAAAGAAAGGUUCGCCUUAAAAGGUGCGCUGGCAACAAAACAUGUUCGCAGUAAUACUUCCAUGCCAAUAUCUCUUUCGUAAUUUAUACGAGGUAUUGCACGGCUCAUGUUAGAGGACAGGCAGCGGUGCGUAAGGGCGUAUGGACCUUUCGCAAUUCCUAUGAUAUUAUGCUGUAGAAAUUAUUGUUUGUCAAACAGAUGGCACAGUUGUUUUUCUGGGUGGUGUAACCAUUAUGUUGCUACUGGGCCGAUGUAAAAAACAAA